This is a long non-coding RNA of Amphiprion ocellaris (clown anemonefish), 493 nucleotides long. Lineage: Eukaryota; Metazoa; Chordata; Actinopteri; Pomacentridae. The record is from Ensembl.
AACUUGGAAUGACUUUUCAUAGGUUUCCCAGAGACUAUGGGUUGAGGAGGAAGUGGAAGUUUGUCGGCUUAGACCUGGUGUCAUUCCAUCAGUGUUAAACUUCCCGGCUCAUCUUGGAAGAGUACGUGCCAGAAAGACCACGACCAAGUAGCCUUGAGAUCUUAGGCAGCGUCUCCCUCAGGUCCCUCUCUAUCUCCCCACACAUCCACCAACCACUGGAACACAUCUCCAAAGUUCUGCCGGGCCAGCUCAGCUUCCCCUCAGAAGAAGUGCCGCCACCUGCCAGAUGAAGGAGCCUUUUGAGAGGCAGCUGGCAUCGUGAUUGAACUGUACUUUGGUCUGUUCCAAUCCAGCUUCAGCUCCAGAGACGGCAGGCGGGACGAGUCAACGGAGGCCGGGUGGACGAAGACCAAAGAACUACAGACUCUUCACAACCUGCUCAAACUCUUGGUACAGGACCUCACCACACGGGUCAAGCAGGUUUCCGUGUCAU